Molecule: ribosomal RNA, 67 nt
Filed under: Pternandra cogniauxii
Lineage: Eukaryota; Viridiplantae; Streptophyta; Magnoliopsida; Myrtales; Melastomataceae
Description: partial 26S ribosomal RNA
Source: RNAcentral
GUUAGGCUGCUCGCGGGCUCCAGACUCGGAGGACCAGCGAAUGCGAUCCCAGGUCAGGCGGGACUAC